Arvicanthis niloticus (Nile rat) is the source of this 132-nucleotide small nucleolar RNA. RefSeq annotates it as small nucleolar RNA SNORA17. Lineage: Eukaryota; Metazoa; Chordata; Mammalia; Rodentia; Muridae. The record is from RefSeq and is a predicted model, not a curated record.
CCUGUCCCUAGAGGUGUUGCAGGUGUGGCUACUAUGUCACAUAUGGGUCAGUAGGUGACACAGAGGAGAGAAGCUAUGUCUACACUCAAUAUUCUGACCUUUGAACACCUGAAUGAUUAGUAGCCUCACAUU